RNAcentral lists this ribosomal RNA (253 nucleotides) under uncultured bacterium. Its description in RNAcentral is "partial 16S ribosomal RNA". It matches the Rfam family "Bacterial small subunit ribosomal RNA", at positions 524 to 776 of the family's 1533-position model. The record is from RNAcentral.
GACGAACCGUGCGAACGUUAUUCGGAAUCAUUGGGCGUAAAGCGCGUGUAGGCGGCUCGGUAAGUCCGCUCUGAAAGUCCGGGGCUCAACCCCGGGAGGCGGGUGGAUACUGUCGAGCUCGAGUCCGGAAGAGGCGAGUGGAAUUCCUGGUGUAGCGGUGAAAUGCGCAGAUAUCAGGAGGAACACCGAUGGCGAAGGCAGCUCGCUGGGACGUGACUGACGCUGAGACGCGAAAGCGUGGGGAGCAAACAGG